RNAcentral lists this long non-coding RNA (673 nucleotides) under Salmo salar (Atlantic salmon). Its description in RNAcentral is "lncRNA (ENSSSAG00000097771.1)". Lineage: Eukaryota; Metazoa; Chordata; Actinopteri; Salmoniformes; Salmonidae. The record is from RNAcentral.
GUGACUGUCCUCUCUGUGUCCCCAUCAGGUGACUGUCCUCUCUGUGUCCCCCAUCAGGUGACUGUCCUCUCUGUGUCCCCAUCAGGUGACUGUCCUCUCUGUGUCCCCAUCAGGUGACUGUCCUCUCUGUGUCCCCAUCAGGUGACUGUCCUCUCUGUGUCCCCAUCAGGUGACUGUCCUCUCUGUGUCCCCAUCAGGUGACUGUCCUCUCUGUGUCCCCCAUCAGGUGACUGUCCUCUGAGUUCACCCCCCUCUUCCAGGAUGAACGGCUACCCCCCUCCCUCCUUCCCCCAGGGAGGGUUCGACUCAUACGCCUCGCAACUCAAUGGUCAUGGUUCCCAGUCCACAGAGCCUCCAGAUUGCAACGCCAGGUCCAACACCAAGUCCAUCUCUAAAACCCUUUACGAACAACGGAAGAACUACACCAAAAACAGCAUCAACAGCAUGACUAACACCUCCCAGUACCACGUAGAGGUCAGUCUACAUACAGCAUGACUACCACCCUCACAGUACCACGUAGAGGUCAGUCUACUACUGUACAUACAGCAUGACGAACACCUCCCAGUACCACGUAGAGGUCAGUCUACUACUGUACAUACAGCAUGACGAACACCUCCCAGUACCACGUAGAGGUCAGUCUACUACUGUACAUACAGCAUGACGAACACCUCCC